This 480-nucleotide ribosomal RNA is filed under the name uncultured fungus. Its description in RNAcentral is "SSU rRNA". It matches the Rfam family "Eukaryotic small subunit ribosomal RNA", at positions 300 to 781 of the family's 1831-position model. The record is from RNAcentral. Lineage: Eukaryota; Fungi.
CAAAUUUCUGCCCUAUCAACUUUCGAUGGUAGGAUAGUGGCCUACCAUGGUCUUAACGGGUAACGGGGAAUUAGGGUUCUAUUCCGGAGAGGGAGCCUGAGAAACGGCUACCACAUCCAAGGAAGGCAGCAGGCGCGCAAAUUACCCAAUCCCAAUACGGGGAGGUAGUGACAAUAAAUAUUAAUACGGGGCUCUUUUGGGUCUCGUAAUUGAAAUGAGUACAAUCUAAAUCCCUUAACGAGGAACAAUUGGAGGGCAAGUCUGGUGCCAGCAGCCGCGGUAAUUCCAGCUCCAAUAGCGUAUAUUAAAGUUGUUGCCGUUAAAAAGCUCGUAGUUGAACUUUGGGUCUGGCUGAUCUGUCCUCCUAAUCGAGCGCACGGAUUCGGUCGGACCUUUCCUUCUGGGGAGCCCUAUGCCCUUCACUGGGCGUAGUGGGGAACCAGGACUUUUUACCUUGAAAAACAUUAGAGUGUUCAAAGC